GAUGAACGCUGGCGGCGUGCUUAACACAUGCAAGUCGAACGGAAAGGCCCAAGCUUGCUUGGGUACUCGAGUGGCGAACGGGUGAGUAACACGUGGGUGAUCUGCCCUGCACUUCGGGAUAAGCCUGGGAAACUGGGUCUAAUACCGGAUAGGACGAUGGUUUGGAUGCCAUUGUGGAAAGUUUUUUCGGUGUGGGAUGAGCUCGCGGCCUAUCAGCUUGUUGGUGGGGUAAUGGCCUACCAAGGCGUCGACGGGUAGCCGGCCUGGGAGGGUGUACGGCCACAUUGGGACGGAGAUACGGCCCAGACUCCUACGGGAGGCAGCAGUGGGGAAUAUUGCACAAUGGGCGCAAGCCUGAUGCAGCGACGCCGCGUGGGGGAUGACGGCCUUCGGGUUGUAAACUCCUUUCGCUAGGGACGAGGCGUUUUUGUGACGGUACCUGGAGAAGAAGCACCGGCUAACUACGUG
Molecule: ribosomal RNA, 468 nt
Filed under: uncultured bacterium
Lineage: Bacteria
Description: partial 16S ribosomal RNA
Rfam family: Bacterial small subunit ribosomal RNA
Source: RNAcentral